CAUGCAAGUCGAGCGGUAACAGACAUAAAGAUUCAGCUUGCUGAAUCCGGUGCUGACGAGCGGCGAACGGGUGAGUAACGCGUAGGAAUCUACCCAGUAGCGGGGGAUAGCCCGAGGAAACUCGGAUUAAUACCGCAUACGCCCUGAGGGGGAAAGGGGGCAGUUUACUGCUCUCACUAUUGGAUGAGCCUGCGUAAGAUUAGCUUGUUGGUGGGGUAAUGGCCUACCAAGGCGACGAUCUUUAGCUGGUCUGAGAGGACGAUCAGCCACAUUGGGACUGAGACACGGCCCAGACAUCUACGGAUGGCAGCAGUUAAGAAUAUUGGACAAUGGGGGCAACCCUGAUCCAGGUAUACCGCGUGUGUGAAGAAGGCCCUAGGGUUGUAAAGCACUUUAAUCAGAGAAGAAGCAUUUUAAGUUAAUACCUUAAUAUGUUGACGUUACCUGAAGAAUAAGGACCGGCUAACUCCGUGCCAGCAGCCGCGGUAAUA
RNAcentral lists this ribosomal RNA (491 nucleotides) under uncultured bacterium. RNAcentral's name for it is "bacterial SSU rRNA". It matches the Rfam family "Bacterial small subunit ribosomal RNA", at positions 54 to 525 of the family's 1533-position model. The record is from RNAcentral.